CAAAGCAUACUUUAAUCUAUGCAAAAAAAAAUCACUUCAACUUGGAGAAAUCUUAGUAUUGGGGAUUGAUGAUAGAAGGGUGCUAACAUUCUGUACUGCUCAAAUUUUUUAAGACAGUCAUAUAUUGCCUUCUCAAAAAACUACAUUAAAAUUAUUUAAGUAGGACAAAAAGUGAAUGCAAAGGAAUAAAAUGAAGGCGACGAGUGAGGACAAUUAUAUGUCCUGUUGCUGAGAAGGAUGCAGAGAAAUUAAUGCGUGAUCAAAAUUUUGUUAUUUUUGUUGGGACUGUCCGUUGCUCUUUAUAGAGAAAAAGUUCGAAGACACCCUGAGAGUCUGACUACGCAUCAGUCAGAUUGAACCAAUCUGAGAGAGAGAGAUGUGAUUCAAAUGGAGGCAGGUAAAGAAGUCUUCAGAAGCCCCAAGGAAUAAAAUUCAGGUGAACAGAAAGGUUCACCUGUGAUUAGCGCAGGGGCGCUUCCAUUUUAACAAGCAGAAUGAAGAAAGUUGUUAGAUUUCUUUUGUGUGAAAGUGACCAAUCUUCGGUGGAGGACUUGGCCUUGUUGGAGAACAGGCACGUCUUCCAUGUUAACAAGUAGACUACAGCAUUAUGGAUACAAACGUAGCUAAGUUUUUAUAAUUUUAGAUGCCUUCUUUAAAGACUCAUUUCGGAACAAGAAAAGGCUUUCAGACAUUCUCCAAUGACUAGCAGCAUUUGCCAUCCAUCUUUAAA
This 730-nucleotide long non-coding RNA is filed under the name Homo sapiens (human). RNAcentral describes it as "HSALNT0080006". The record is from RNAcentral. Lineage: Eukaryota; Metazoa; Chordata; Mammalia; Primates; Hominidae.